UAUGAUUAUAACAUAUAUACCUAACGUUGACCACGGAGGUUCAAUACUAGUGACGUCACAGUUUCAGAGAUGUUCCUGUAACACGUUGAGGAAACGGUUCCCAUUAACAUAGACGGACAAGACGUGGAACACAGAACUAUCGCAUCGUCGAUCGUCUUCAGAUCAUGGUGCUUUCGCCUUCACCGGUCUGUGCCUGUAGACGUUGACCACGGAGCAACAACGAACACCAGUUACCGGGGACUGAUCCUGUCAUGGAGAAGAAUAUCCGUCACGGGUUCUCGGUACCUAAGAAGAACCUUCUUACGUCGGUUUUUGCCCGAGGA
Dreissena polymorpha is the source of this 323-nucleotide long non-coding RNA. RefSeq lists it as uncharacterized. The record is from RefSeq and is a predicted model, not a curated record. The transcript is spliced from 2 exons. Lineage: Eukaryota; Metazoa; Mollusca; Bivalvia; Myida; Dreissenidae.